CCUGCGUAAAAUGGAUUCGUCUGCCCAAGGAUGGGUCUGCGGCCUAUCAGGUAGUAGUGGGUGUAAUGUACCUACUAGCCUACGACGGGUACGGGUUGUGAGAGCAAGAGCCCGGAGAUGGAUUCUGAGACAUGAAUCCAGGCCCUACGGGGCGCAGCAGGCGCGAAAACUUUACAAUGCGGGAAACCGUGAUAAGGGGACACCGAGUGCUAGCAUCAUAUGCUGGCUGUCCAGGUGUGUAAAAUACACCUGUUAGCAAGGGCCGGGCAAGACCGGUGCCAGCCGCCGCGGUAACACCGGCGGCCCGAGUGGUGAUCGUGAUUAUUGGGUCUAAAGGGUCCGUAGCCUGUUUGGUCAGUCCUCCGGGAAAUCUGACAGCUUAACUGUUAGGCUUUCGGAGGAUACUGCCAGACUUGGAACCGGGAGAGGUAAGAGGUACUACAGGGGUAGGAGUGAAAUCUUGUAAUCCCUGUGGGACCACCUGUGGCGAAGGCGUCUUACCAGAACGGGUUCGACGGUGAGGGACGAAAGCUGGGGGCACGAACCGGAUUAGAUACCCGGGUAGUCCCAGCCGUAAACGAUGCUCGCUAGGUGUCAGGCAUGGCGCGACCGUGUCUGGUGCCGCAGGGAAGCCGUGAAGCGAGCCACCUGGGAAGUACGGCCGCAAGGCUGAAACUUAAAGGAAUUGGCGGGGGAGCACA
Molecule: ribosomal RNA, 701 nt
Filed under: uncultured archaeon
Lineage: Archaea
Description: bacterial SSU rRNA
Rfam family: Archaeal small subunit ribosomal RNA
Source: RNAcentral